AUUGAACGCUGGCGGCAUGCUUUACACAUGCAAGUCGAACGGUAACAGGCCGCAAGGUGCUGACGAGUGGCGAACGGGUGAGUAAUGCAUCGGAACGUGCCCAGUCGUGUGGGAUAACUACUCGAAAGAGUAGCUAAUACCGCAUACGAUCUAUGGAUGAAAGCGGGGGACCGUAAGGCCUCGCGCGAUUGGAGCGGCCGAUGUCAGAUUAGGUAGUUGGUGGGGUAAAGGCUCACCAAGCCAACGAUCUGUAGCUGGUCUGAGAGGACGACCAGCCACACUGGGACUGAGACACGGCCAAGACUCCUAAGGGAGGCAGCAGUGGGGAAUUUUGGACAAUGGGCGCAAGCCUGAUCCAGCAAUGCCGCGUGCAGGAAGAAGGCCUUCGGGUUGUAAACUGCUUUUGUACGGAACGAAACGGCUUUGGUUAAUACCCGGGGCUAAUGACGGUACCGUAAGAAUAAGCACCGGCUAACUACGUG
This 482-nucleotide ribosomal RNA is filed under the name uncultured bacterium. RNAcentral's name for it is "partial 16S ribosomal RNA". It matches the Rfam family "Bacterial small subunit ribosomal RNA", at positions 30 to 507 of the family's 1533-position model. The record is from RNAcentral.